Molecule: long non-coding RNA, 1795 nt
Filed under: Zonotrichia albicollis (white-throated sparrow)
Lineage: Eukaryota; Metazoa; Chordata; Aves; Passeriformes; Passerellidae
Description: lncRNA (ENSZALG00000007171.1)
Source: RNAcentral
UUGGGAUUUCACCCCAAACCAUUGGGAUUUCACCCCAAACCGUUGGGAUUUCACCCCAAACCGUUGGGGGGGUUUGGGGCCACAACUUCUGGGAUUUCACCCCAAAAUCGCCGGAGCUCGGAGCCGCCAAAAUCGCCGGAAUUGAAACCAAAAUCGUCAGGAAUGGAACCAAAAUCAUCAGAUUGGAACCAAAAUCAUCAGGAAUGGAACCAAAAUCGUCAGGAAUUGGAACCAAAAUCAUCAGGAAUUGGAACCAAAAUCGUCAGGGUUGGAACCAAAAUCGUCGGGAAUGGAACCAAAAUCGUCAGGAAUUGGAACCAAAAUCGCCGGGAUUUGGAUGGAAAAGGAGCAGGGAUCACCCCCAAACUGAGGGGUUUUCACCCCAAAAACCUGUGGGGAUUUCAGCCCCAAAUCUCCGGAGUUUGUCCCCAAAACUGUCAGGGUUGGAACCCAAAACUGUGGAGAUUUAAUCUCCAAAUCUGGGAGGAUUUCAGCCCCAAAUCUCGGAGGUUUUUCCCCAAAACCUCUGAAAUUUCAGCCCCAAAUUUUCUGGGAUUUGUCCCCAAAUCCCCCAGGAUUUCACCCCCAAAUUUCCAGGGUUUGUCCCCAAAACUGCUGAGAUUUCAUUCCCAAAUUUCCAGGGUUUGUUCCCAAAACUGUGGGGAUUUCACCCCCAAAUUUCCAGGGUUUGUCCCCCAAAACUGCGGAGAUUUAAUUCCCAAAUCUUUGAGGUUUUCCCCCAAAACCCCAGGAUUUUUUCCCAAAACUGUGGGGAUUUCAUCCCCAAAUCUGUGAGGAUUUCACCCCCAAAUUUCCAGGAUUUUCCCCCAAAACUUCCAGGAUUUCACCCCCAAAUCUCUGAAAUUUUCCCCCAAAACUGUGGAGAUUUAAUUCCCAAAUCUGUGAGGAUUUCAGCCCCAAAUUUCCAGGAUUUUCCCCCAAAACCUCCAAGAUUUCACCCCCAAAUCUCAGAGGUUUUUCCCCAAAACUGUGGAGAUUUAAUUCCCAAAUCUGGGAGGAUUUCAGCCCCAAAUUUCCAGGAUUUUCCCCAAAAUCCCUGAAAUUUCAGCCCCAAAUUUCUGGGAUUUGUCCCCAAAUCCCCCAGGAUUUCACCCCCAAAUUUGCAGGGUUUGUCCCCAAAACUGUGGAGAUUUAAUUCCCAAAUCUCUGAGGUUUUCCCCCAAAACCCCAGGAUUUGUUCCCAAAACUGCUGGGAUUUCAUCCCCAAAUCUGGGAGGAUUUCAGCCCCAAAUUUCCAGGAUUUUCCCCCAAAAUCCCUGAAAUUUCAGCCCCAAAUUUUCUGGGAUUUGUCCUCAAAUCCCCCAGGAUUUCAGCCCCAAAUCUCGGAGGUUUUUCCCCAAAACUGUGGGGAUUUAAUUCCCAAAUCUCUGAGGUUUUCCCCCAAAACCCCAGGAUUUGUUCCCAAAACUGUGGGGAUUUAAUUCCCAAAUCUGUGGGGAUUUCAGCCCCAAAUUUCCAGGAUUUUCCCCCAAAACCUCCAGGAUUUCACCCCCAAAUCUCGGAGAUUUUCCCCCAAACUGUGGGGAUUUAAUUCCCAAAUCUGUGGGGUUUCAGCCCCAAAUUUCCAGGAUUUUCCCCCAAAACCUCUGAAAUUUCAGCCCCAAAUUUUCUGGGAUUUGUCCCCAAAUCCCCCAGGAUUUCACCCCCAAAUCUCGGAGGUUUUUCCCUAAAACUGUGGAGAUUUAAUUCCCAAAUCUCUGAAAUUUCAGCCCCAAAUUUUUUGGGAUUUGUCCCUAAAACUGCUGAGAUUUCACCCCCAAAUUUCCAGGAUUUU